This is a non-coding RNA of Meleagris gallopavo (turkey), 3786 nucleotides long. Lineage: Eukaryota; Metazoa; Chordata; Aves; Galliformes; Phasianidae. The record is from RefSeq and is a predicted model, not a curated record.
UAUGUAUGUAUGUAUAUAUAUAUAUAUUAGUGUUUACAGUCAGAAUUAUGAAAUAGGAUCUUAAAUAGAGAUGUUCUGUCCUGGAAGACCAUCUCCUUCAGAGUUAACUCUUGUGAGUUAAGUGUUGUUCUCCUAGCAUGAGGUAAUAAUUAAUAGGAAUGAAUGUUCUUUGUUUGUGUAUUUCAGAUAUUCAGUAUGUUUGAUGUCCAUGUGAUGUUUUUGUGUGUUUUUUUUAUGUAUGGCAUAUUAUUUAGUUUGGCUGCGUGUGUAUGAUAGCUUUGUUACCUUGAAAUAGAAAAUGGUUUUGGAACUAGUUGUAGUUCCAUGUGUUUGUUUAGGGCCAGAAAAGAAAGAAAUGAAGUGAUAUAUCUUCAAAUCUGCUUAGAUGUUGCUCAGCCUGAAAUAAAAAUGCUUCUGCAUUUCAUCUCUUGUUAGUGUGUUCCUUCCUGCAGAAAGCCUGUUAGUUACCCCUUCAGUUAAACCAGAUUAAUCUCCUGGCACCUUCCAGAGAAACACUACCUUGAAACAACCUGCUGCUGCCUUUCCUCUUAGCUGCCAGAUAUGAGAAAAUGAUCUUGUUAAUCUUCUGUUUGUUCUGGCUAGUCUCUGCCUGGAGUUGCUGACCACAAGCCAUUGAGUCUGACAGUCUGGACAGUUUUCAGUUCAUCUUGCUCUCCAUUUAUUUAGUCAAUACUUUCAUUUCAUCCAUAAAGAUGUCAUGGGAAGACAGUGUUGAAAGCCCUUCUGAAGUAAAGAUUAACCAUGUCUUGUCCACCAGGUUCCUCCUUUCAUGGUAGAAUUCCAUCAGGUUGGUCAGGAGUGAUUUCUCACUUGCAUGUCUGUGCUGAAUGCUUUUGAUUGUCUUGUUAUUUUUUGUGUGUUUUGGGAAUGAUCUGUUGCUAUUUUGUUCAUCACCUCCUCAGGGAGAAAGGUAAGGCUGAGCAGCCUUUAGUUACCCAGAUGCUCCUGUUUGCCCUUUUUGGAAUUCCACUUGAGGUGUUCAGUCCUCAAAGAGGAUCCCAGCUAUAACCAUGUUGGCAAUGCCAGUUGUGCAGCCAGUUGUUGACCCACAAGAUCCAUCUAUUCUUCCUCAAGCCAUUGCUUUUCUCAUCAGUAUCAGUACGGACAAAAGGAUAAAUGCCUGCAGUGUCAGCAAGCUAGAGGCAGACUUAAAAGUAAUUAUCAUAGCUAAGUUAAUGAGUUUAUUGUUCCAUGCUGAAGACAUUUCAUCAACAUAAUGGUGAGUAUUAAUUUGAUAGUUUAAAGGCAACUGCACCAUUUAAACCAGGUUGAAAUGCUACCACAGUCUGCUUUGUUUAUUUUGAAAUUGGUUUAGAGCAUAACUGGAUUUGUUAUGACUCAGAAAAUACAGGACUACAUAAGCUUAAUUAUUUUGCAGCAGAGGGAAGGUAUCUACAGUGACACAUCUGUGAAUCUGUUUUUGAAAACAAGAGGAUGUGCAGUGCUGAUGUGGUGUGUUCUGUAAAUGUAACUUAGAUGCCUCUGAGCACUGCAGGGUUUUACUAAGUGGUAAUAAAUUCUAGGUGUGGAUACACUGAGGUUUUGGAGUGAAAUAUUAUUUAUGUAAGUGCUUACAGAAAGUAUUCUUAAUAUUUGAUAUGUGUAGUACUAGCAGCAUAAAUAUGCAGUUUAAGUAGCUCUUUCUUCUCUCUUCCACCUGUGCAUGGCUACCAGACUGUGCUUGAAGGUUCUGUUUGGGACCUGUGUUGCACUGUCAGUGUUACCUAUUCUCAGCCUGACGUUUGCAGCCUGGUGUGGGGAAAAAUAAUUAUUGCAAUGUAAUUGUGUCCUUUAAAUAGAUACCUAUGGCACUUGAGAUAACUGUUUCAGAAAUAUGCUUAGGGAGUUUUAAACUAAUGAGAAGACCUCUGUGAUUCCAGACUAAUAGUGAAUCGUGUGUGAACUUCACAGUAAUAAUAAAAAGGAACAGAGAAAAAUGCUUUAUCAGGUGUUUUGUGUAUCUACUCUAAAUACUACUGUAAUUAUCAAGCUGUAAGGAAUCAAGCGAAUUUAGACUGAAGAGCAGUCUUUCAUUGGAGAGCCACAGCUAUUCCUUUGCUCCAGUGAUAUUCUUGUGUCUUACUUCUGAUCACUUCGAACCUGUCUGCAAAAUAGUCUCCAGUUGAGAAAUUUGCCCUUUGCUCAUUGUGUGUAUAUAUAUGUAGGGAGAGACAGACGAAAAAGAUGAGUUAGGUAAAAGGUUCCAGCACAGAGAAGAAAUUUCAGUAUAGACUAUUGAACUUCUGGGAUCGAAGUUUGGAGAAGUGAGAGUAGUAUGGCACUCCCAGCAAUUGGUUUAGUGUGUUCUUAUGUUUGAAAAGUGACGUGAUGCAUUUAUAACUUGAUUUAUGGCACAGUGACAUGACUGCGUGAAAAAGUAGGGAAUAGGAGUUGAUGACGUGAAAAUGAAAAGUCCUUCAACUCCUGUGCUGAUGUUCUUGUAAAUGUUAACAAGGUGGCUUAACCGUCUGAUCACUUCAACAAACCAGCAGCAGCUCAGCACAUUUCUGUAUUGCUUCCUGUCUAGCUUCCAAGGUUUUGGGGACACACAGUUAGGAUUGUUCUUGUGUGCUUCUAUGGACUCAUCUAGAAGUGGAAAAAUGCCAGAAGUCAAGUUGGCUUCGCUAUGAGACGGGAUCAGCUCUUCAGGCCAAAUGAAAACAAAAAUAAUGAGGAGGAAGAAAUAAAUAAAGCAAAUCACAAACCAACAACCUGAAGGCUUCCAGAAUUCCACAAUUCAGGAUACCAAAUCCACACAUCAGGCUUCUGUUGUACUGAAAACUGUCGGUGUUGUUUGCAAUAGAGCAUUUUUCUGCUAGAUAACUUCUGCACCAACAAGGAGAAAAGAAGUAAUUAAAAAUACACAUGUAUCUUAGCAUCAAGGAAGCAGUGAGCUUAUUUUGAGCAUUUGUAUUCUUAGUGUGAAAUACUGGUGAACUUAUACAAACAGCAUACGAAGAUUCUCAGCUGUGCCAGAUGUGUUCACCUUCACUUUGCAGUGGGAUAUUACAACAGGAAAGUGUGUCCUUAUGAGAAUGAUCCCAGCACUGCUGCAUCAAUAGGGAGAGCUGCAAGGAGCAGACAGUGUCUUAAUGUUUUUAGCCUCUUUUUUCUUGUUCUCUGUAAGACACUGUUGUUAUGGUCUGGAAGAAACGCAGGCUUCUUCACGUUUUGCACCCUCAUGCUCAGUCCAAACAAACGGGGGAAGCGGCCGCAGCUUUCACUUCUGAGCUGGAGCAAAACAAGGCUGAUGUGUUCAAGGUCACGAAGGAAGCUGGUGGCUGAGCUGGAUAUGGGAAAUCAGCUUUCCUGCACCGCGGGCUGGAGCUGCAACUGUCCUCAGUGAGCCUUCCGCAGACACCACUGUAAUGAGUUGUGUGGCAGAUAUUGCUGGGACAAACAUAACUCGUCCUGUAUUCUUGGAAGCAUUUGGCUGUCUGUGUAGCACUCCAGGGGCUUUGAAAACUUUCCUGGGGGGAGGGAGGGGGGGCAUCCAGGCAUGUCUUCAGCCCCUUUGGCUUUCUUCAGCCCCAGAGAGAGCUUUGUGCCUGAGCGGUGAUGCAGAACAUCAGAUGGCCUGCUUGUGGCCUGGGGUUUUUCUUUUUGUGUGCGAUUGUUUUCUCUUUUAAAUAUAGAAGAAAGCAGUGCUUCUAAAAAGCAGCAGCUGUAUUUAUUGAGAGUUUUGACACACACCACUCUAGCCCUGCAGUGCCGGAGUAUUGAAUGAAGAUGUGGCAGCACUAUGGGUAAGAAAAAAAAAAAAAA